RNAcentral lists this ribosomal RNA (405 nucleotides) under uncultured bacterium. RNAcentral describes it as "partial 16S ribosomal RNA". It matches the Rfam family "Bacterial small subunit ribosomal RNA", at positions 28 to 526 of the family's 1533-position model. The record is from RNAcentral.
GUUGAACGCUGGCGGCAGGCUUAACACAUGCAAGUCGAACGAGUGGCGGACGGGUGAGUUAUGCUUGUGAAUCUAGCUUAUUGAGGGGGUUAACUUCGGGAAACUGUAGCUAAUACCGCUUACCGUAGGGUGAGCGCAAGGGGGAGUAGGUAGUUGGUGGGGUAAAGGCUCACCAAGCCGGCGAUCUCUAGCUGGUCUGAGAGGAUGACCAGCCACAGUGGGACUGAGACACGGCCCAGACUCCUACGGGAGGCAGCAGUGGGGAAUAUUGCGCAAUGGGGGCAACCUGACGCAGCCAUGCCGCGUGAAUGAAGAAGGCCUUCGGGUUGUAAAGUUCUUUCGGUAGCGAGGCGUUAACUACAGAAGAAGCACCGGCUAACUCCGUGCCAGCCGCCGCGGUAAUAC